GUGAGGGGGUGACUAGUGACAGAGUGAGGGAAGGAAGGGGUGACUAGUGACAGAGUGAGGGAGGUGGUGACUGUUACUAGUCACCACCUCCCUCUGUCACUACUCCCUCCCUCCUCCUGUCACUACUCCCUCCCUUCUUCUGUCACUAGUCACCCCCUCCCUCACUCUGUCACCAGUCAUCCCCUCCCUCACUCUGUCACCAGUCAUCCCUUUCCCUCAC
This is a non-coding RNA of Pelobates cultripes (western spadefoot toad), 220 nucleotides long. NCBI's taxonomy places the organism in Eukaryota, Metazoa, Chordata, Amphibia, Anura, Pelobatidae. The record is from the annotation of a GenBank genome assembly.